This 253-nucleotide ribosomal RNA is filed under the name uncultured bacterium. RNAcentral describes it as "partial 16S ribosomal RNA". It matches the Rfam family "Bacterial small subunit ribosomal RNA", at positions 524 to 776 of the family's 1533-position model. The record is from RNAcentral.
GACGAGCCACACAAACGUUAUUCGGAAUUACUGGGCUUAAAGGGUGCGUAGGCGGCGUGGAAAGUUGGGUGUGAAAGCCCUCGGCUCAACCGGGGAAUGGCGCCCAAAACUACCAUGCUCGAGGAAGACAGAGGUGAGCGGAACUCAGGGUGGAGCGGUGAAAUGCGUUGAUAUCGGGAGGAACACCGGUGGCGAAGGCGGUUCUCUGGGCCUGUACUGACGCUGAGGAGCGAAAGCGUGGGGAGCAAACAGG